Molecule: ribosomal RNA, 153 nt
Filed under: Triticum aestivum (bread wheat)
Lineage: Eukaryota; Viridiplantae; Streptophyta; Magnoliopsida; Poales; Poaceae
Description: partial small subunit ribosomal RNA
Source: RNAcentral
AUGUGGGAUCCUCUCGAACAGCUCAUGCUCACUGUCGACUACGAUGGCAGGGUCACCCGCUCCAUCGGCCCCCUCUCCGACGGGAUGUACUACUCGGAUUUGAUCCCCUACGUCAACUCAUACAUAGAGAUCUACAUGUACUACUUGGAUUAA